RNAcentral lists this ribosomal RNA (387 nucleotides) under uncultured bacterium. RNAcentral describes it as "bacterial SSU rRNA". It matches the Rfam family "Bacterial small subunit ribosomal RNA", at positions 30 to 420 of the family's 1533-position model. The record is from RNAcentral.
AUUGAACGCUGGCGGAAUGCUUUACACAUGCAAGUCGAACGGUAGAGGGGGCAACCCCUUGAGAGUGGCGAACGGGUGAGUAAUAUAUCGGAACGUGCCCAGUCGUGGGGAUAACGUAGCGAAAGCUACGCUAAUACCGCAUACGAUCUAUGGAUGAAAGCGGGGGAUCGCAAGACCUCGCGCGAUUGGAGCGGCCGAUAUCAGAUUAGGUAGUUGGUGAGGUAAAGGCUCACCAAGCCGACGAUCUGUAGCUGGUCUGAGAGGACGACCAGCCACACUGGGACUGAGACACGGCCCAGACUCCUACGGGAGGCAGCAGUGGGGAAUUUUUGGACAAUGGGGGAAACCCGUGAUCCAGCAAUGCCGCGUGCAGGAUGAAGGCCUCGG